AUGCCACAUGUCUACACAACACAGCACGACCAAGCUCUUCUGUCGAAAAAAAUUGCGGUCAGAAGAGUUAGGUCAGACUUUAGCGCUUACAAGACAGCACAAAAACCUCCUCUUGAGGAUUAUCACUGCCACUCUGUAAUAGCGGUUCCAAAAGCCUAUUUAAGCUCACCUUUCGACACCAAACAGCCGUCUAAAUUUCAUCCAGCACUCUAUUACACAUCACCAGAGGAAGAUGUCUCCCCUGAAUGCGUCUCACCGUCAGCACUUCUGGUACCUCCAUCGUAUCCUGAAGCAUCAACGUCCAUCCAGUCGUUCAAUUUUGAAGAACCACCUUCAGUGAAGCUUUUGUCACAGCAAAGGCUCAAUGAAGCGUUAGGAGCGGUAGUUUCAACACAUAGCUUCUCGGACACGGUUUUAAUGACCAACGACAAAAAAAUCGUUGUGAAAAAUUCGAAUUGGAAAAAAGAUCACGUUUCACGACAGGACUCGCGAGAUGUGAAUAGUGCGGUUGAUGAAAAUGAAAGGCUAAUUAGCAAUCAAAGUCGACACACAAGUCUAUGAUAAUCACCUACCAAUUUUCAAUCAUAUCUGACACCUUUUCUGAUAAAUUAUGUUUUGGGUGCUAAUUUUAUGAUUUCCUAUAGCUGUGGGUAGAAUUUAUUCAUUCCUGCCUUGUUGCAUUUGUUGAUACAAAAUAUAAAAACAGCCUCGGAUUGAUACUAAAAUGUUUCAUUCAAAAGCAAAAGCCGACGCAAGACAGCAAUAAGUAGAAAGUAGGUAGGACUUUUAAUGGUCGGCGCAAGGAGUUUCUUGAAGAGUACGACAAAUGGAUUCUGCGGAUGAAGUAUUUUGGUCAAUCGUUCAUUUCAGCAUUAAAUGUAUACGAUCCAUUUCACUCUUUCAAACGCGGGGCAUGAAGAAGAGGAGCAAAGAUCUUUUGUUUUUGUUUUUUAAAAAAAAAUAUAAUUAAGUUGUAUUUCAUUCUGGUGAAUCGCACUUUGAAAUUCAACCUCAGCUACCGAAACUAAACCUCGUUUCGAAAUUAACACCGAACUUCUUCAGUUCGUAUAACAACGGGUUUCAGAUAUAGGAAUUGAAUUUUACUCCCUGUGCACAUUUACUUCAAUUGAAACAUUUAUUUCAAAAACCACUACAGUGCACUUUUGGCAAUGUGUCAGAAAUUUCAGAGUCAAUGCGCCUUCCCAUGGAGUUUUCACUUCCGCUCAAAAAUCAAUUUUGACCAAAAGUGAGGAUAUGCUCUUUUCGAAAUGAUUUGUCUCAAUUUCUCAACGAACAUGAAAAGGAGAGAAAAGAAAUAAAGGGAUAGAGAAUAGAAAGCCCCCCCCCCCCUGAAGAGUAGAAGAAGUAGUACUACGACAAAGAUCGGCAAAAAAUAUAAAUAAUAAAGACGUUGAAGAUAUCCACUUUAAAAUGAGUUAUUUGGAAUUGUUUAACCGUUUAAGUAAAAUGCUUGAGAAAUUUAGGGAAAAUUACUCUUUGUUGGGGGGCUCUUGUAAUUAUGGUUAGGUUCCCGAAUUGUUGAACUAUUUGGUUACGUUUCACAAGCAUAGGAUUAGAGAGCACAGACCUACGAAAUCAAUUUGAAGAAUUUUUUUUUAAUUUUGUAAAUCCUAGUAACUGUGGAAUUAUCAUACGGGAGGUUUUAAUUAACUGACUUUUAGUAGGUAAUCCUUGUCGUAUCGAAUUAUUCAGCCUCGUUGCUUUAAAUCCACUCAAAGUAAGAAUAAUGCAAUUCGCACGAAUUUCAUAUCAUAAAACAUGUUCAGUUUUCUAUUAUUUAACUAAUUCCAGAGCUCAUUUCCUUUUAAUGUGUUCUUAUUUAGGCUCUUGGAGCUAUUUCUGCGUGACCAACGGUGAUAAGCCCAUUUAUGGGGUGAGGAACACACUGCAGCGGGAACAAUUGGAACAUGUCUUAUUGUCAUUGCCUGACUGAACAUGUCAUUGCCUUAUUGUUACAGUGGUAGCAUGUGUAUGGGAUGGGGGAGGGGGGACUCCUCCCUUUAAAGUUUUAGAGGCUCUUACUUGUCCUCUUUCCUCUAAUUUUGUGCUCUUGCUUGAAAUAUAAACGACAGUGUUGGUAUCCAAUGCUAAAAUCUGGUGCUGCGUCUCGUAAAUAAUUCUUUUUGAAUGUUUGACAAGGUGACAUAAAUAUUUUCCCUAUUAUUAAGGCCUGAUCCGAGAAUGAUAACGAGAUUUCUUUCCUUCGGAAUUUAAAGGAAAAAGGAGAGAAAGUGAUAUUUUACCUCGAGGACAGCAAAUACCUAAUUGCGUUCUAAGGAUACUGGUAUUUCAAACUUUUCCCGAGGAAAGGCCCGUGUCUCAUUUUUUUAAAAAUUCCCCUUCCCCCGAAGUUUCAUUCCACACGCCGCCACCGACUUGUUAUGAAACUGAAUCUAGAUCUCCGCCUCUGCAUAUUUAAAGUCGAUAACUAUUAUAAAAACAAAUUAUACAGAACACAUCGACCAAAAUAAAGAAAGAGAAUGAAUAUGGAUCAUAUUAUAAGAGCGAAGAAGGGAAAAGAAUAACAUGAACAGAUGUUAACUUUGUAUGUCAAUUUUCUUCUUCAUUUUAUUUCCUUUAUUCACUUCUUAGGUUCAUUUCUUUCUUCAUUUUUAGAUAUUUUUUUGGUAAAAUAUUUGCCUUGCAUUUCUGUCCUACAAAACCAAAGUAAUCAUUAAUGUGAAAAUGUAAAAUGUAGAAUUGUAUGACGCUAUAUUUUAAACUAUUUAAGAUUUCUUCCGUAGAUUUCUAUGAAUUCUCUCCGAUGCAUAUUAACUCUUGUGAUUUCUUUAGUUCCUAACAUCUGUCAGCAAUGAUGACCUUCGCAAGAUGGCAACAAUAGGUAUGUUUGUAUAUUUAAAUUUAAGUUGAAUAAUUGAUUUUUAUCGAUUACAUAAUUAUAAUGCAGUAGGUUCAUGAUGGGUUCAUGAGGGAAUUUAUUGUUGCCAGCUUGCGCGAAUCGUGCCUGGCAGUAAUCUGUCAGUCAUUUUGAUCUGUUGAAACGAAAUCAUAUAUUUUAUUGCAAAUAGGCAUGUAUAUUGUAGGCAUUCAAUUAUUUUCAACACUAAAUGAUAGCAAACUGAUGGCGUAGUGUAUCUUUUAAGCAAACAAAGUUUAUACUGCUCUUCCAUUAAUUUGCAUCAGUAGUCAAUUAAUUAAAUUUUUUAUACGCAUAGAGUCUUGAAUUUGAUUAUUGUAAUACUGUUUUUAAGCAAUUUUAGAUAAGUUUGCCCAAAAUGCAGCACAUUUUCUGUCUACAUCGAAAUCCAAAUGAGGUCCGUUUGAAAAACGAAACAACUCGUAGACCAACGGGGUUUACCCCCUGGCCGCUAGGUAGGCAAUAUAACCUCCGGAGGGCGGUUUGCAGCCAUUUUCAAGAAACCGGGAAAUUCACACUUUCAAAGCAAGUGUUUUUUCCUUCUUUUUUUAAAAGAAACAAAUUCUGAACGAUUUUGUAUAAUUUCAACUGGGCAAAUCAUUCACCGAGAGGCACUCAUUCUUGAAUAUGUAAUAAAAGAGUUUAAAUUAUUCGUACUUUAUGACUUAGGUCGUUGCAUCUCUACAUACAUAGUUGAAUGUAUGUAACUUACCUAUAUGAAUACAUGGUAGAUCGCGGUAAUAUUAUUGAACGUGUUCAUGCUGAAAAGAACAUUGUGAAAAUGAAUAAAAUCCAAAAGAUUUAAUGCACGUAAAUCUUAUGCACAUAUAGUUCACUUUGACUUAUUGAUUCCUCACAUAUUUUGUUCAUUUUGGCAAGAAAACGUCCAAAUUUUGAUACUUAGGUAUACCUCCAUGCCCUUCGCUACCUCCCUGCUGGGCAUCCACUCUCAAGCUUUUCCUACGCACGUCCAUUUCUGCCGUGCUAAGGAAGAACGCCGUAUGAGCAUUUAAGAGUUGCCCGAAUUUCCAUCGACAAAAUGUUUAUUUUUCUGGAGAGUUACGCAUUUUUUUCCUUAAAUUUUUCAGAAUCUUUAGGUAAACUGCGAACUAAAUUAUCAUAAAAAUUUGUAGGAAAAUAUUCAUAAAUUUACCAGGAAUUUCGCGUUUUAUCAAAGGAAAUUUGGCAACGCCUGAUUGUUCAUACGGCGUUUUUUCUUAGCACGGUAGAUUUGACGUAUCGACCAGAGGCAGCCUAACAACAUUCCACGUUGCAUGAUCUCCUCUCAUGUUUCAUUUUUUAUACAGAGACUUAGAUAUCAUAACGUCUGAGAACUUUCUGUGCUAUACCCUAAAUUACAAACAAUACCUGUACUCACGAAACAAGUCAGAGUCCUCUUAGCUUCCUGAGGAGGAUUAUAACACGAGAAGAAAUGAGGCAACUUAUGAAAAUAGGCUGAUUUUAGGUGAAUCCGUUCAGAUGUUAGGUCCUUUUCGACGCUAAUUGUAAGUCGUAACCAAACUGAACCAAUGUCUUGAACUGCAACUGAACUGACCGUGCUCUGCUGGCCAGUCACGUGUCCCGCCUAGUUGCCAGAUUUUGGCUGAUAAUCAGGAUUGUUCCCGUAAGACUCAAUGUAAACAAAUUUUGAUUUUUCAGCACAAUUUGGCAACCAUGCCCACUCUUCGAUUGCACUUCUCCCGCCGUGCUCGAAAGAGCGGAGCAUCAUAGGUGCUUUAAAUUUUAAACCAAAUUUGUUAUUUCACUUUGUUACGAUAUUGUGAUAACUCCAGGAUGAGUUUGUAGUCCGAUAAAAUAAAUACUAAUGAUAAGUAGUAUACUUUUUCUUUCUCUGAUGUAAAUAAAAUGUAUCUAUACGUAGAAAUCACGGGAGAUUGGUAACUGGAAGCCCUUCAAUUUGAGGUAGAUGCUCCGACUUCAUGUCGGUGCAACCUUUUUGCCAUUUCCACAAAAAUCGUCUGAUUUUCAAAAACUUAUGGUAAUUGGAAGGCUUAAGAUAACCAACAAGUUCGCUUAAACCCCUAAUUUGCUCCUGAAUGCGAGGCGUAUGUAUACUUGCACAAAUCGCUCAUUAAGUGCUCUCUGGCGCUCUGCGACACUCAAACGCCGCUUGGAGCCGUAUUUCCAAAGAUCUUGGGGCUACUGGCAUCUCUAAAUUUCUUCAUUGAAACCUUUCAGCCAUUUCAUUAAGCCGAGCUAGAAAUUGUGAUGAUUUUUUACCCUCAAUUUUAAGUAAAGCUAUAAAACAUGCCAGGCUCGAAUAAUAUGAGGUGUCAAUAAUGUGGGGAAUUCCUGCUUCAAUCUUACCUCAUACACCAUACAGAGAAAUCAAUUGGAAAAUGCAACGAGUGUUCUCAUGGCCUGUAGAUUCAACUCUCGCUUAUUAAAAAAGGAAAGGAGGAAGAAAGACGGACAGAAAAUAACAAUGUGAGAGUUAAAAUUUUAACUCUCCAAUGAUAACUCUCUUUUGAGCCCAAUAUCUUCUCAAACUGAAUUCUCCUGUGCCUAUUGUUCUUCGUAGUUUUUUCAGUCUUUAUUCGACUUUUAGAAAUUUAGCUUUAGAGUUUUCUUUUGACAAUCCUUUUUCGAAUUUUUUGCCUUUUUUCUAUUGCCUUUGACCAAAAUAAAAAAAUUAUACAA
Molecule: long non-coding RNA, 5560 nt
Filed under: Bemisia tabaci
Lineage: Eukaryota; Metazoa; Arthropoda; Insecta; Hemiptera; Aleyrodidae
Description: lncRNA ENSSSA2NGG000101
Source: RNAcentral